This 335-nucleotide unclassified non-coding RNA is filed under the name soil metagenome. RNAcentral's name for it is "partial contains 5.8S ribosomal RNA, internal transcribed spacer 2, and large subunit ribosomal RNA". The stretch from base 1 to 120 matches the Rfam family "5.8S ribosomal RNA", at positions 35 to 154 of the family's 154-position model. The record is from RNAcentral.
GAUGAAGAACGUAGUGAAAUGCGAUAAGUAAUGUGAAUUGCAGAAUUCAGUGAAUCAUCGAAUCUUUGAACGCACAUUGCGCCCGCCAGUAUUCUGGCGGGCAUGCCUGUUCGAGCGUCAUUUCAACCAUCAAGCCCCCGGCUUGUGUUGGGGACCUGCGGCUGCCGCAGGCCCUGAAAAGCAGUGGCGGGCUCGCUGUCACACCGAGCGUAGUAGCAUACAUCUCGCUCUGGGCGUGCUGCGGGUUCCGGCCGUUAAACCACCUUCAUAACCCAAGGUUGACCUCGGAUCAGGUAGGAAGACCCGCUGAACUUAAGCAUAUCAAUAGCGGAGGA